RNAcentral lists this ribosomal RNA (235 nucleotides) under uncultured bacterium. Its description in RNAcentral is "partial 16S ribosomal RNA". It matches the Rfam family "Bacterial small subunit ribosomal RNA", at positions 118 to 353 of the family's 1533-position model. The record is from RNAcentral.
UGAGCAAUCUGCCCUUCUCGUCGGAAUAAGCGUUGGAAACGACGUCUAAUGCCGAAUACGACCUCCUUUCGCAUGAUCGGAGGUGGAAAGCUCCGGCGGAGAAGGAUGAGCUCGCGGCCUAUCAGCUAGUUGGUGUGGGUAAUGGCCCACCAAGGCGACGACGGGUAGCCGGCCUGAGAGGGUGACCGGCCACACUGGGACUGAGACACGGCCCAGACUCCUACGGGAGGNAGCG